CUAAAUGUUUUCUGAACACCUCCUGGGAAGGUGACUCCACCACCUCUUUGGGCAGCCCAUUUUAGCAUCAAACCACACCUCUGAAGAAGCAAUUUUUCCUAUGUCCACUCUGAAUCUUCCUGGCACAACUUGAGGCCAUAAACAUGCAACCUGCUGUUAAUACUUUUCCUAAUGUCCUGACAAUACUGAAUGAGAAACACAUCAAUCUCCUGCUAGAUAUCUCUGAAUAAAGUCAAUAGAACAACAAAGAAAGUAGGAGAUGCUAACAUCUGAGAAAAAAUACUGAGCAGGGGAAAUAAAACAAGAAGAAGGCAAUGAAGUGGCAGCCCUUCCCUAAGGCAACAGACACAUUCCUGCCAGCUGCAUUAAUAACUUCCACCUUGUGACACCGAAAACACUGGGGAACUGUUUAAAAGCGUCCUGUCUUGUACAGAUACAUACAGAAGCAGCAAUUACAGUAACAAGAGGAAUAAUAAUGACAAGAAAAAGCACAAGGUGGAAAAAGUCUGUGAAGAAAGUGUGGGCGAAAGCAUUUUUUCAGGUUCCUUGCACGAAAUAUUCCCAAGCAACAGACACUGUGAAGUGGGAGAAAUCCACAACUUCUACAACAUUUUGUCUGAACGCCCUCGCAAAGACAAAGGAGUGGGCUUCAAGACAGGUAUCAGGAUUUUGCCAAUAAUAAAACAUACCUUUAGUUUUAAAUGUGUUCCUUAACCCAUUGUGUUACUUUGGCUCUAUCUGAAGGGUUGAAAACUAAGUGCUUUUUUCUCUGCUUGUAAUCCAUUUCCUGUGGGUUGUUACCACCUAUCUGUCUGGCAGGAACUACCCAGUUACCACGUUGAUCAAGCCUUACCUUUGGAUGUCAUCCAAAAUUACUUAACAGAAAAUAAUCCAACUGGCAUAUCUACUAUGAGGAGAAUGAGCAACAUUUCCUUGAAGAAUUUACUCAAAGUAGGCGUGUGUAUUAUGUGCCAAGAAAAGAAGGAAAUUUGAUGCUAGCAUCAGUUGAUGAACAUUAGCAUGUAUUCUUUAUAUGGUACAUGCUGAAGGCAAUGCUAGGAAAAAAAAAAAUGAAAAAAAUCAUUGUUUUAAGGUCUUCCUGCCUCAAUUUAGGGAAAGAAAAUGGCAAGUUCCCCAAUGGAAAGGCUUUUUUGUUGUUGUUUUGUUUGUUUGUUUGUUUGUUUGUUUUCCAUGAAGAAUGGAAAUACUUCAAGAGAUGGGGGUUUUCUUGUGAAUGUCUAAACAAAACAUUUGCAUUGAAUUCAAAAUCUGUAUGUUUCAGCGUGUCCAACACAGCCAAAAUAUUUUGCUUAGAGAAGGCAGGCAUGCGUUACUAUUUUCAAUGCGUUUCAUGUAAAAAAAAAAAAAAAA
This is a non-coding RNA of Phasianus colchicus (ring-necked pheasant), 1371 nucleotides long. NCBI's taxonomy places the organism in Eukaryota, Metazoa, Chordata, Aves, Galliformes, Phasianidae. The record is from RefSeq and is a predicted model, not a curated record.